GUGCGCCUUUUUUUUUUUUUCCUUCUUAGUCGUGUGUACAUCAUUGGGAAUGGAGGGAAAUAAAUGACUGGAUGGUCGCUGCUUUUUAAGUUUCAAAUUGACAUUCCAGACAAGCGGUGCCUGAGCCCGUGCCUGUCUUCAGAUCUUCACAGCACAGUUCCUGGGAAGGUGGAGCCACCAGCCUCUCCUUGAAUAACUGGGAGAUGAAACAGGAAGCUCUAUGACACACUUGAUCGAAUAUGACAGACACCGAAAAUCACGACUCAGCCCCCUCCAGCACCUCUACCUGUUGCCCGCCGAUCACAGCCGGAAUGCAGCUGAAAGAUUCCCUGGGGCCUGGUUCCAACCGCCCACUGUGGACUCUGAGGCCUCUGCAUUUGCGGGUGGUCUGCCUGUGAUAUUUUGGUCAUGGGCUGGUCUGGUCGGUUUCCCAUUUGUCUGGCCAGUCUCUAUGUGUCUUAAUCCCUUGUCCUUCAUUAAAAGCAAAACUAAAGAAAACAGAA
Molecule: long non-coding RNA, 503 nt
Filed under: Homo sapiens (human)
Lineage: Eukaryota; Metazoa; Chordata; Mammalia; Primates; Hominidae
Description: non-protein coding CYTOR:19
Source: RNAcentral